Molecule: ribosomal RNA, 465 nt
Filed under: Vreelandella stevensii
Lineage: Bacteria; Pseudomonadati; Pseudomonadota; Gammaproteobacteria; Oceanospirillales; Halomonadaceae
Description: partial 16S ribosomal RNA
Rfam family: Bacterial small subunit ribosomal RNA
Source: RNAcentral
CCUACGGGGUGCUGCAGUGGGGAAUAUUGGACAAUGGGCGAAAGCCUGAUCCAGCCAUGCCGCGUGUGUGAAGAAGGCCUUCGGGUUGUAAAGCACUUUCAGUGGGGAAGAAAGCCUUGGGGCUAAUACCCUCGAGGAAGGACAUCACCCACAGAAGAAGCACCGGCUAACUCCGUGCCAGCAGCCGCGGUAAUACGGAGGGUGCGAGCGUUAAUCGGAAUUACUGGGCGUAAAGCGCGCGUAGGCGGUCUGAUAAGCCGGUUGUGAAAGCCCCGGGCUCAACCUGGGAACGGCAUCCGGAACGGUCAGGCUAGAGUGCAGGAGAGGAAGGUAGAAUUCCCGGUGUAGCGGUGAAAUGCGUAGAGAUCGGGAGGAAUACCAGUGGCGAAGGCGGCCUUCUGGACUGACACUGACGCUGAGGUGCGAAAGCGUGGGUAGCAAACAGGAUUAGAUACCCUAGUAGUC